UAGGAGGACCAUCUGCUUCAGGUGAACCUGGAUCAUCGAACCAUAACGGCAGUGACUCAAUGUCAGGAGCAGAUGCUAUCGAUGACUAAUGGAGGCAAAGAAGUCCCAAGAUCUGUACUUAGCAAGCUGGAGACCAGGGAGAGCUGAUGGCAUAGUCUCGGUGCAAGUCCAAAGGCCUGAGAACCAGGAGAGCUGACAGAGGCAGUUCCAAUCCUGGUCAUGAAUCUGCAUUAUGGAUCUUCACAAAUUGAAGAAGCCCUUAAGGGGCCACGCUGGGAAAGGCAAGUUGAAAGAGAAGGACAUCCCUGACUACUUAAUAAAC
Long non-coding RNA from Gorilla gorilla gorilla (western lowland gorilla), 322 nucleotides. RefSeq lists it as uncharacterized. NCBI's taxonomy places the organism in Eukaryota, Metazoa, Chordata, Mammalia, Primates, Hominidae. The transcript is spliced from 3 exons. The record is from RefSeq and is a predicted model, not a curated record.